AGUCGUAACAAGGUCUCCGUUGGUGAACCAGCGGAGGGAUCAUUACCGAGUUUACAACUCCCAAACCCAAUGUGAACGUUACCAAACUGUUGCCUCGGCGGGAUCUCUGCCCCGGGUGCGUCGCAGCCCCGGACCAAGGCGCCCGCCGGAGGACCAACCAAAACUCUUUUUGUAUACCCCCUCGCGGGUUUUUUAUAAUCUGAGCCUUCUCGGCGCCUCUCGUAGGCGUUUCGAAAAUGAAUCAAAACUUUCAACAACGGAUCUCUUGGUUCUGGCAUCGAUGAAGAACGCAGCGAAAUGCGAUAAGUAAUGUGAAUUGCAGAAUUCAGUGAAUCAUCGAAUCUUUGAACGCACAUUGCGCCCGCCAGUAUUCUGGCGGGCAUGCCUGUCCGAGCGUCAUUUCAACCCUCGAACCCCUCCGGGGGGUCGGCGUUGGGGAUCGGCCCUGCCUCUUGGCGGUGGCCGUCUCCGAAAUACAGUGGCGGUCUCGCCGCAGCCUCUCCUGCGCAGUAGUUUGCACACUCGCAUCGGGAGCGCGGCGCGUCCACAGCCGUUAAACACCCAACUUCUGAAAUGUUGACCUCGGAUCAGGUAGGAAUACCCGCUGAACUUAAGCAUAUC
RNAcentral lists this ribosomal RNA (621 nucleotides) under Trichoderma sp. T004-R1-1. RNAcentral describes it as "eukaryotic LSU rRNA". The stretch from base 246 to 399 matches the Rfam family "5.8S ribosomal RNA". Lineage: Eukaryota; Fungi; Ascomycota; Sordariomycetes; Hypocreales; Hypocreaceae. The record is from RNAcentral.